AAGAAAUAACCAAAGAAUCCAACCCCUUUUCCCUGUCCAAAAAAGGCAAUCCGGUGCACAUAACAUCCCACGUUCAAUCAGGAUCCGAAGAAGGGUACCAUCUGAAAGGAAACAACCUAUAUUAAUACAAGCAUUGCUGGUUUCACGACUCGAAACUAUCACCUACUUUACGUCGCUCCAAGCUCCACAAAAAAAGCAGAAGAAUAGCAGUUUGUUUAGAAAUUUAAGUACGUAAGUCCUAAUUAUACUUGGAGAAAAAGAAAUUUACAGCUAUAAAUGCGCUAAUAGGCGGCACCAAAGAUCCAAAGUAUCUAAUUGAAGAGCCUACUAUACUAUAGUAUUCUUGAUUAUUUGCACAGACCACUUCAUUUUUUCUUCCCGUGACCACUUUUCUAAGGAAUAGCUCCUCUUCUUCUUCUUGCCUUUGAAGAAUUUUAUUCUUCAAAGCUUACUUUCUUAUCUCUCCAUUCUGUUAUAUCUUUAAAGAAUCCUACAUAUAGAAGUGAACAACAAAGAUUUAUUAAACAAUAAGGGAUAGCGAAAAGGAAGAAUAUUAAUAAUCAUUUUUCUAUAUUCCCUUCAAGAUUCAAGAAAAUGGCCGAAAAUAGUGGAGAAAAAUUAGAAAAAGGGUCGAGAAAAAGAGAUCAAGAUCAGAAAGUGCCAUUUUACAGGUUAUUUUCGUUUGCAGAUAGGCUGGAUGUUGCCCUAAUGAUCGUUGGAACGAUAGGAGCCAUUGGCAAUGGAUUAUCUCAACCUUUAAUGACACUCAUUUUUGGCCAACUUGUUA
Molecule: long non-coding RNA, 787 nt
Filed under: Nicotiana tabacum (common tobacco)
Lineage: Eukaryota; Viridiplantae; Streptophyta; Magnoliopsida; Solanales; Solanaceae
Description: long non-coding RNA (NTAB_LNC004937)
Source: RNAcentral